Molecule: transfer RNA, 73 nt
Filed under: Aleeta curvicosta
Lineage: Eukaryota; Metazoa; Arthropoda; Insecta; Hemiptera; Cicadidae
Description: tRNA-Asn
Source: RNAcentral
UUAAUUGAAGCCAAAAAUUGAGGCACUCUAUUGUUAAUAGAGAAAUUGAAUUAAUUAUUAUUUUCCAAUUAAA